AUCAAUCAAUUGGUGUUAGAGCACUAGCUAUUAUUGUUAUUAUUUGAAAGGCUUUUAAAAUUUUAAAAUUUUAUUUUCUGUUUUAAUAUUUUGACUGUUUUCUUUUAUUUAUUAUGUGAGUUACAAAUUGUUUAAUUUUUAGUUUUUAUUUUCUAUUCAUUGUCCUAAUUUUUUGGUUUAAUAUGUCUGGAGGUUACGAGUGUUGAAUGCCUAUAAAAAUCCACUUCUCCUUCACAUUUGAACACACCACAAUCAGAUUUCUCUAUUCUCAUACUUUCAUAUAUUCCCUACUUUCCAUAUUAUUUUUGGGCAACGGCUCUGUGACUUGGAGAUUUCUAUCCGACUGUGAACGUGCUCAUAGCAGACCUUAAGCCUGCGUAUUGGGGUCGUAUCUUGUAGUCUUGUAGAUCGUCAUUACCUACACGUAGGGAGGUUACAAAGGCUUUAGGACAACGUCUUUGACAUGCUUUCACUAUACCAUACUUGUUUUCUUACUCUUGACUUAUUUUUUUUAUUUAUUUGUUUCUUUAUUUUACUUUAUUGUUUACGCUUUAUUUUACAUAUUAUUUAUAUCUAAAGGUUUGAGUAAGAGUUUUACAGAAAAGGAAAAUACAAUUUUUAAUUACAAAGAGUUUUAUAGAAAAGAAAAAACACAAUUUUUAAUAACAAUUAAAACAAAUAGAG
RNAcentral lists this long non-coding RNA (684 nucleotides) under Prunus persica (peach). RNAcentral's name for it is "long non-coding RNA (PPER_LNC001834)". Lineage: Eukaryota; Viridiplantae; Streptophyta; Magnoliopsida; Rosales; Rosaceae. The record is from RNAcentral.